UAGACCUUAAGUUAUAUUAAACUAUAAGCCUUCCAAGCUUGAAAAAAGUCAGUCUUAGGUCUAA
Molecule: transfer RNA, 64 nt
Filed under: Cyamus boopis
Lineage: Eukaryota; Metazoa; Arthropoda; Malacostraca; Amphipoda; Cyamidae
Description: tRNA-Gly
Source: RNAcentral